This 497-nucleotide ribosomal RNA is filed under the name uncultured bacterium. Its description in RNAcentral is "partial 16S ribosomal RNA". It matches the Rfam family "Bacterial small subunit ribosomal RNA", at positions 28 to 507 of the family's 1533-position model. The record is from RNAcentral.
GACGAACGCUGGCGGCGUGCCUAAUACAUGCAAGUUGAGCGAUGAAGCUUGGUGCUUGCACCAAUUUGAAGAGCAGCGAACGGGUGAGUAACGCGUGGGGAAUCUGCCUUUGAGCGGGGGACAACAUUUGGAAACGAAUGCUAAUACCGCAUAACAACUUUAAACAUAAGUUUUAAGUUUGAAAGAUGCAAUUGCAUCACUCAAAGAUGAUCCCGCGUUGUAUUAGCUAGUUGGUGAGGUAAAGGCUCACCAAGGCGAUGAUACAUAGCCGACCUGAGAGGGUGAUCAGCCACAUUGGGACUGAGACACGGCCCAAACUCCUACGGGAGGCAGCAGUAGGGAAUCUUCGGCAAUGGACGAAAGUCUGACCGAGCAACGCCGCGUGAGUGAAGAAGGGUUUCGGAUCGUAAAACUCUGUUGGUAGAGAAGAACGUUGGUGAGAGUGGAAAGCUCAUCAAGUGACGGUAACUACCCAGAAAGGGACGGCUAACUACGUG